UGGGGAAUAUUGCACAAUGGGCGAAAGCCUGAUGCAGCCAUGCCGCGUGUGUGAAGAAGGCCUUCGGGUUGUAAAGCACUUUCAGUCAGGAGGAAAGGUUACUAGUUAAUACCUGCUAGCUGUGACGGUACUGACAGAAGAAGCACCGGCUAACUCCGUG
RNAcentral lists this ribosomal RNA (160 nucleotides) under uncultured bacterium. Its description in RNAcentral is "partial 16S ribosomal RNA". It matches the Rfam family "Bacterial small subunit ribosomal RNA", at positions 355 to 507 of the family's 1533-position model. The record is from RNAcentral.